CUGCAACUCGCCUGCAUGAAGUCGGAAUUGCUAGUAAUCGCGGAUCAGCAUGCCGCGGUGAAUACGUUCCCGGGCCUUGUACACACCGCCCGUCACACCAUGGGAGUCGGUAACACCCGAAGCCGAUAGUCUAACGAAAGAGGACGUCGUCGAAGGUGGGAUUGAUGACUGGGGUGAAGUCGUAACAAGGUAAC
RNAcentral lists this ribosomal RNA (194 nucleotides) under uncultured bacterium. RNAcentral's name for it is "partial 16S ribosomal RNA". It matches the Rfam family "Bacterial small subunit ribosomal RNA", at positions 1305 to 1500 of the family's 1533-position model. The record is from RNAcentral.